Molecule: ribosomal RNA, 253 nt
Filed under: uncultured bacterium
Lineage: Bacteria
Description: partial 16S ribosomal RNA
Rfam family: Bacterial small subunit ribosomal RNA
Source: RNAcentral
UACGUAGGGUGCAAGCGUUGUCCGGAAUUAUUGGGCGUAAAGAGCUCGUAGGCGGUCUGUCGCGUCUGCUGUGAAAACUCGGGGCUUAACCCCGGGCCUGCAGUGGGUACGGGCAGACUGGAGUACUGCAGGGGAGACUGGAAUUCCUGGUGUAGCGGUGAAAUGCGCAGAUAUCAGGAGGAACACCGAUGGCGAAGGCAGGUCUCUGGGCCGAUACUGACGCUGAGGAGCGAAAGCGUGGGGAGCGAACAGG